This is a long non-coding RNA of Protopterus annectens (West African lungfish), 213 nucleotides long. RefSeq lists it as uncharacterized. The transcript has 3 exons. NCBI's taxonomy places the organism in Eukaryota, Metazoa, Chordata, Ceratodontiformes, Protopteridae. The record is from RefSeq and is a predicted model, not a curated record.
AAUAGCCACACUUUUGGAUAUGCACAAAGAACCCAGACUGCAGCUUGAAAACUGAAUGUGACAAGAACUGAGAUCUAUUCAAGUAUGUUUAACCUGCUCUCCAACUGCUUUGCCUGGAUGGAUAAAGUACAUGAACCAGUCAGGAAAGUGACAAUUCUCCUGUCUGGCUUGGACAAUGCAGGAAAAACAUCACUGGUGAAAGGAAUGCAAAAA